Long non-coding RNA from Onychostoma macrolepis, 639 nucleotides. RefSeq lists it as uncharacterized. The record is from RefSeq and is a predicted model, not a curated record. The transcript has 4 exons. NCBI's taxonomy places the organism in Eukaryota, Metazoa, Chordata, Actinopteri, Cypriniformes, Cyprinidae.
UCUCCUUAUCGUAGAUGGGUGAGGCAACCCUAAGUCAAAGGUCUCCCUGACGUAAUUGUAGGCCGUGGCUGAAUAAAACUGCAGAGUUAGUGCAAAUGAUUUAAGGGCUGGGUGGUAUUUUGUGUGUCUACUUUUCUGUCUCUUUAGUAUUUCCAAUGGCACAUCAGGGCAGUUUUCCAGCAUAAAUGCUCCAUUCUCUGUUAAGAACUGGGUUGCCUUGAGGGACUGAAUGAUACUCUGAAGCUUUGCGGUGAGGGUCUUUGGACUGCCAAAGCAGUAGCUGUGCUCAUGUCCUAUUGGAGCCUGAGGAGGACCUUCUGUUGGGUUGUCAGAAUUGUCCUCACUGCGCUGCACUGCCUCUGUUUUCCUUAAUGCAGGUGCCUUUCUGCGGAUCUGUUCCUGAAAAACAAGGUGAAUGGGAAAAAAGAGGUAAUCCUUCUCCUAAAGCUACCUUCUUAUAGUUGCAGCCAAAAGGCCAAGCUGGAUUUUGCCAUUUGGCGAAGUGAUCAGAGCAGAGGCAGGAGUAGGCAGAUGGCCUGAAGUUUUGCCUCCUGAGCUUCGCUACCCACUCUCUCCUCCUGACUGGGUAUUUUGGAAAUCUACAAAGGAGCUGGACACAAAAAUCAAAAUAAAGUUUAA